CUUGCCCUACGGGACGCAGCAGUAAGGGAUAUUGGUCAAUGGGGGAAACCCUGAACCAGCAACGCCGCGUGAGGGAAGACGGUUUUCGGAUUGUAAACCUCUGUCCUCUGUGAAGAUGAUGACGGUAGCAGAGGAGGAAGCUCCGGCUAACUACGUGCCAGCAGCCGCGGUAAUACGUAGGGAGCGAGCGUUGUCCGGAUUUACUGGGUGUAAAGGGUGCGUAGGCGGCUUGGCAAGUCAGUAGUGAAAUCCAUGGGCUUAACCAAUGAACUGCUAUUGAACCUGUCGGGCUUGAGUGAAGUAGG
RNAcentral lists this ribosomal RNA (305 nucleotides) under uncultured bacterium. RNAcentral's name for it is "bacterial SSU rRNA". It matches the Rfam family "Bacterial small subunit ribosomal RNA", at positions 333 to 655 of the family's 1533-position model. The record is from RNAcentral.